Dalotia coriaria is the source of this 286-nucleotide long non-coding RNA. RefSeq lists it as uncharacterized. NCBI's taxonomy places the organism in Eukaryota, Metazoa, Arthropoda, Insecta, Coleoptera, Staphylinidae. The record is from RefSeq and is a predicted model, not a curated record. The transcript has 2 exons.
CGAGAGAUAUGAGUAUAGCAGGAAUUUUAGGCACUCACUAUACAAUCACGGCUCGACUUGAAGGUGAGCGUAUGUGUAGAUGCGCAUUUCUGUGUUCCGGCAGGCAGGCAGGAUCUACGCAGGUCGGGAAAUGCAGGCUUAUAUAAUCAGGAAAUAUUGUUAUUUAACGUUUUCCGCAGCAGGAAACGCAAUAUACAAGAAACGGUAAUUUUAUACACAAAAAAUUGUAAUGGAGGUGGAAGGACGAGUUAUGGAAUAUAAAGUUGAAUAUAUUAAAUGAAUUCAU